This is a long non-coding RNA of Rhopalosiphum padi (bird cherry-oat aphid), 162 nucleotides long. RefSeq lists it as uncharacterized. The record is from RefSeq and is a predicted model, not a curated record. NCBI's taxonomy places the organism in Eukaryota, Metazoa, Arthropoda, Insecta, Hemiptera, Aphididae. The transcript has 4 exons.
AACUUUUAUGCUUGGUUCAAAUGUGUUUAUACAUUUCUUGUUAAUGAGAAAGAUUGACAAUUAUAAUGAAUUAAAGGAAGAGAUCGAAAAUUAUAAACAUUUGAUGGAACAAGAUUUGAGAAAUAAUUAUCAACACUUAACUUCUUUUCCGCUACGUAAGAA